UGAGAGUUUGAUCCUGGCUCAGGAUGAACGCUGGCGGCGUGGAUAAGGCAUGCAAGUCGAGUGGGUUUAGACCCACGGCAAACGGGUUAGUAACGCGUAGGAACGUACCCUCGAGUCGUGAACAACCCGGAGAAAUCCGGGAUAAUACACGAUGUGCUCUAUGGAGCAAAGAUUUAUCGCUUGAGGAGCGGCCUGCGUCCUAUCAGCUUGUUGGUGAGGUAAUGGCUCACCAAGGCUAUGACGGGUAGGGGGCGUGAGAGCGUGACCCCCAACAUUGGAACUGAGACACUGUCCAAACUCCUACGGGAGGCUGCAGUCGAGAAUAUUCCACAAUGGGCGAAAGCCUGAUGGAGCGACGCCGCGUGCAGGAUGAAGGCCUUCGGGUUGUAAACUGCUUUUAUAUGGGAAGAAUUUUUGACGGUACCAUAUGAAUAAGAGGUUACUAACUCUGUGCCAGCAGUAGCGGUAAUACAGAGACCUCAAGCGUUAUCCGGAUUUAUUGGGCGUAAAGAGCGAGCAGGCGGACAUAUUAGUCAGAUGUCAAAUCUCUGAGCUUAACUCGGAAACUGCAUUUGAAACGGUAUGUCUAGAGAAAGUGAGAGACCAAUGGAACUCAUGGUGUAGUAGUGAAAUGCGUUGAUAUCAUGAGGAACACCUAAGGCGAAGGCAUUUGGUUGGCACUUUUCUGACGCUGAGUCGCGAAAGCGUGGGUAGCGAAUGGGAUUAGAUACCCCAGUAGUCCACGCUGUAAACUUUGCAUACUAGAUGUGAGGAGUAUCGACCCUUCUCGUGUCGUAGCUAACGCGUUAAGUAUGCCGCCUGGGAAGUACGAGCGCAAGCUUAAAACUCAAAGGAAUAGACGGGGAUCCGCACAAGUGGUGGAGCAUGUGGUUUAAUUCGACGAUAAGCGAGGAACCUCACCAGGGCUUGAAACUAUACUGCAUUAUGUAGAAAUACAUAAGCCUUCGAGGGUGUAUAGCAGGCGCUGCAUGGUUGUCGUCAGCUCGUGCCGUAAGGUGUUCCGUUAAGUCGGGUAACGAGCGCAACCCCUGUCGUGUGUUAUAUAUGUCACGCGAGACUGCCCAGACUGAAACGCACUUCGUGCUUAAUUUUCAAUUAUCAAUUUUAAAUUUUCAUUCAAUUUUCAAUGAUUUAAUUUUCAAUUUAGAAAUUUAGAUAUUAGAAUAUUGUUUAGAAAUUAGAAAUUAGAAAUUAGAAAUUGAGUGCUUAGUAAAGCGCGUUGCAGUCUGGGAGGAAGGAGGGGAUGACGUCAAAUCAGCAUGGCCCUUUGACGCCCUGGGCGACACACGUGCUACAAUGGCCGGUACAAUGGGUUGCCAAACCGCGAGGUGGAGCUAAUCCCAAAAAGCCGGUCUCAGUUCGGAUUGGAGUCUGCAACUCGACUCCAUGAAGCUGGAAUCACUAGUAAUCGGGAAUCAGCCACGUCCCGGUGAAUACGUUCUCGGAUCUUGUACUCACCGCCCGUCACACCAAGAGAGUCGGUAACACCCGAAGACCCCGCAUCAAACCGGGGGCUACGGUGGGAUCGAUGAUAAGGGUGAAGUCGUAACAAGGCAUCGGUAGCGGAAGCUGUCGAUGGAUCACCUCCUU
This 1611-nucleotide ribosomal RNA is filed under the name Candidatus Moranbacteria bacterium GW2011_GWD1_37_17. RNAcentral's name for it is "bacterial SSU rRNA". It matches the Rfam family "Bacterial small subunit ribosomal RNA". The record is from RNAcentral. Lineage: Bacteria; Candidatus Moraniibacteriota. RNAcentral also lists the same sequence under 3 other names.